AAGUCGCAAAUUACCUGUUUGCUGCGUCUUGGGUUCCAGGUGUGGGGAUCACGGUUGAGCUGUGCAGUCGGACCAUGGUGAACUAUGAGCGUCUGUCAUCAAACAAGGAAGUUUGGCACUCCGUGAAUGCAGUGACCUAUGAUGAUGUGCAUGUGAACUUCACUCAGGAAGAGUGGGCUUUGCUGGAUCCUUCCCAGAAGAAUCUCUACGAAGAUGUGAUGCUGGAAACCUUCAGGAACCUCACUACUAUUGGCUACAAUUGGGAAGUUCAUGCUAUUGAAGAGCAUUCUCAAAGUUCUAGAAGACAUGGCAGUAAUCUUCAAAAAAAGAACACAUACUGGAAAGCAAACAUAUGAAUGUGACCAAUGUGGUAAAGCCUUUGCACAUAUCAGAAGUCUUCAAAUUCAUGAGAAAAUGUGCUGCAAAGAAACCCUGAAAUCUCUUAAAAAUGACUUAGUCUAUCUAAAAACCAUGUUCAACUCCUGUUGAAGGGUUCAAGAAACUUGUAAAGAUGCUAAUAUAUCAAACAUUUCUUAAAACACCAUCCCUCAAGAACUGAAUAAAGGUGUGUCAAUAACUCAAAGAAAUUCCACUAAAAUCAGGAAUAAGACAAGGUUGACCAUGCUCUCUACAUUUCUUCAGCAUAGUUCUUGAGGUUUUAGCAAUAGCAAUAAAGCAA
RNA transcript from Chionomys nivalis (European snow vole), 679 nucleotides. It is a transcript of the gene named zinc finger protein 431-like, with no coding region annotated. Lineage: Eukaryota; Metazoa; Chordata; Mammalia; Rodentia; Cricetidae. The record is from RefSeq and is a predicted model, not a curated record. The transcript is spliced from 5 exons.